UGUCCUGGUCCACCAUUGUGUGUGAUGACAGUCCAAGUGUCUUGACAAUGAACUGCCCAUCACCACUUCUUUGAAUAUCGUAAUUGGCAGCUGCUGCUUCUGGGAAUCGUACCUGAUAGUCUCUCCAAAAGCACCUUGGAGACUCCAGUGUUGGCCAAUCUAGAUGGUUAACUGGAUGGAUGUCCUGGCUAGUGUUAGUGCCAAUUUGACCCAAGCUAGCGUCAUAUGAAAGGAGGGAGGCUCAACUGAGGAAAUGCUUCUGCAAUCUAGUGAUAGAGCAUUUUCUUGAUUAGUUGAUAGAGGAGGGCCCAGUCCAUUAUGGGCUGUACUACCCCUGGGAUCUAUAAAGAAGCGGGCUGAGCAAGCCAGGAUGAGCAAAACUGCACAUCUCCCUUCUGAGACUCUGCACGACUCCUCCAUGAUGUCUGCACCACACCACCAUGGUCUCUACAUCAGCUCUUGCUUCCAGGUUCCUGCCCUGUUUGAGUUCCUGACCUGACUUCCUUCCAUGGUGACUAGAGAUUUGCAAGAAUAACCCAGAUCAACCCUUUCCUCUCCUAGCUUGCUGUGGUUAUGGUGCUACAUCACAGUAGUAGUAACCCCCACCAGCACAAUGGGAUUCAGAGUUACCAUGGAAACAGACCCAGUGCCUGCCUCAGAGUGUUAUCACUGGGUUAAUGGAAUUUGGAAGACCCACUGUCAAUGCGGUGGCAUCCCUGAACAGGGCAACGUAUUAUGUGGACCCAGACCAUGUAACACAAGACCCCUCCCCAUCCAAUCGUUGGCAUCUCAUACCUGCUCAAGCUAGCAGUUCAAGGAGGAGACAGCAACCCAAGCUGAAAUGAUGGUGACCAUCGGUCUUGCUGAAUGGAUUAGCCGUGAAGCUCCACCCGGUUGGCUGCUCCAUGUCCACUUGCUUACAUUAUCCUAAGGAAGAGCAACCUAAAAUGCAAAUCUGUCCGUUCACACGGGGAAGUUCUGCUGCAGACAGUGCAUUAUUCAUUUUGCUGGCCUGGGUGUGUUCCUCAAAGGUGAUUUUAACAGUGGCUUCAAACGGAAAACAAUGGAUUCUAUCUCCAGCCUCCUAGAGAGGCUGAUUCAUGUAUCCUGCCAUGUUGGGAGAUUAAUACAUCUGAGAACAAUUUAUCCAGAAUAUCCACACGCACCCGCUGGAUUAAAAAAAAGAAAAGGUCUGCCACCCUCAUCACACCGAUAAAGACAGCUCACCGGCUGGGACUCCUAAGAUCUACCCCAGGCCAGGGAAGGGAGGCAGGAAAGGAAAGACCACACUGCACAUUUGCGAGAUUUAGAUUUCUAAUCUUAGGAGCACACAGAGGUCAGAGAACAGCACAUAUCCCCCGGAACUGAAGUGAUGAGGAGUUCAACACAGCCUACUGAACAGCUGCCAGAUGUGGCUCCCGGCUUUGGCCAGAUUUCUCUCUAAGAAGUGUGGAUACCGCAAAUAGAGGAGCCAGAAGCUGGGACUUCCUGUCUUUCCAAGAACAUCUAGAAGUAGGAUUUUAUUUUUUAUUUUUGCCACCAUGACGUGAAAGAUGGUAGACGUAUUUAUUCCUUGCUUUGCCAGGUUCAUAAACCAUUUACUUGGUUAACCAGAGUUGAGUUUUCACUGUGCAAAAGUGGAAACCAAAUGGUAUGCUUUCAGACCAGAUGUGCCAAUGGCACCUUGUUGGCGAAAGGAUCCAUGGCUAGGACAUGUGGCAUCUUGGUAUAAUGAUGAUUCUAGAGGGUCCUUGGGAAUCAUGUGAGGCUAGAAAAGACUUGUGAUGCCAAGUCUGGAUGGGAUUUGAAUUAAUACCUCUGGCCACGUCUGCAAGGCAAUGCCCAGAUUCAAUCAACUUAGGUAGGAGCACCCAUGCUAAAUGACAGCGACAUCAUGGACAUCAUGUUGUGAGCGGGGAUAAAUAGGAGGGAGUGAGCUGAGUGCCAGCCCUUACACCUCUCUGGUUCUUGAACGUGGAUACAGUGUCUCCAGCUGCCCCAAGCUCCUGCCCCUUUACUCACCAGGACGGACUGUACCCUUGAACUAUGAGCCAAAAUAAACCUUCCUUCCUUAAGUUAAGUCUGUCAGAUAUUUUGUCUCAGCAACAACUGACUGAUGAAACUCUCCUCUCUCAUUUGUUGACUAAAGACCAGAUCCACAUUUUCCUUCCAUCUCUUUCCUGUUCUUUGUUCACUGAAGAUUUCACUCCACGGCCGUCAAGUGACUCGGCCGGUAAAGGCGUUGCCAUCUAUCCGAGAGCCACUCUCAUCUUUCCAGAAAUCAUCUACGUCCCUGUGACAGCCGUGUCCCCCAUUCCUGUUCUACCAUUAGACGGACAGGAAGAGCGGGCUAAGUUCUUACGUAUGAUGGAAUCAAGUCAUGUGCCUUCUGCCCCGUGCAUCUGCCUAUUGUCAGUUCAUUUCUAGUGACUCAAAUGAUUGACCGUUCAGCAGAAGGAGAGCAGUUCCCUACAAGGAGGAGACAAAGAUGGGCUUCUUUCAGCCCCUUCUCAAUGCCCAACAUGGCUGAAACUCCCUAAGUACGGGGAUAUCUUGGUCUGGAGCUUCAUAAACAAUUUCCCCCACCGGAUCCGCUUCCCCUCCAGCACUCUUUCUCCAAAGGCUCUAUUAGAGUAUUUGAUGGUAAUGUUUCUUGGCUGCCUCACAUCAUUCCUAUCAGAGCAGCUGAUACAAAACACAAUUAGGAUCGGGAGUCAGCAGAUCAUCUGAAGACCACUGUGACCGCCUUACCGAAUUGCUGCCUGGGACACGGCUUGCAGUUUAGAUGUCUCUCUGGUGCCUUUGUAUCUGUGGCAUUCAUGAACUUAUGACAGCUGUGCUGCGAUGACCACCUGCACGACGCCUGCACAGAAUCAAAUCGGCAGCAAUGAGGCAAGGCUAGGGGGAGGGCUCAUGAAGUCCCACUCCUAUCAGAAGAGCUAUUUAUUGACAUUCAAAGGCUGCUGAUGGAGCGGGAGUAAAUGUCUUCAGGGAUGGCAUCCUAGAGGCUCUAUGCAUGCUCAAGUGGACGAGGCUACAUCCAUGACCAUAAGAGGCAGCACCAAGUGCACUCAGUAGGUUUAAAAAUAAAUCCCAUGAAGACAGGAGGGAAAACUGGUGAGAGACAGAGGAGAGGCUGGGUAGGAAGACUUGAUCAAAAUACAAACAUGUCUGAGACUUUCAAAAAUAAAUUUUUAAAAUGUGUCUGUA
This is a non-coding RNA of Rattus norvegicus (Norway rat), 3210 nucleotides long. NCBI's taxonomy places the organism in Eukaryota, Metazoa, Chordata, Mammalia, Rodentia, Muridae. The record is from RefSeq and is a predicted model, not a curated record.